Molecule: long non-coding RNA, 366 nt
Organism: Ananas comosus (pineapple)
Lineage: Eukaryota; Viridiplantae; Streptophyta; Magnoliopsida; Poales; Bromeliaceae
Exons: 3
Source: RefSeq, a predicted model, not a curated record
AAACCCUCCCCCUCCCACCGACACCAAUCUCCCUCAACACUCUUUCUCCCUCUCCGACACCGAUCACCCUCCUCGACACCACACCAACCCGCGGGACAAGAUAGGCUUCUAGUUGCUCUAAUUUGGUAUUAGUUGCAAGGAUUUGGUAUUAUUUGAUUUGACCCCACCUCAGAGAGAGAGAGAGAUCGGUUGUGUCUUUCUUGGAUUGGGGGUUUCGAUUGCCCAGUGGUGGAGGUGAGCUCUCUUUGUGUGAUCUGGGGCUAUCGGAUUCGCUUUUUUUAGCACUUGAUCGGGAGCUCGGAGGAGUUAAAUUUGACGAGAGCCGGGACCGAGCGAGCUGGCGAGCGACCGAGGUAAAGGUAUCGC